GGGAUACUCAGGUCCUUUGCACUGUUACCCUUGGAGCACCUGGGGAUGCUCAACGUCUGGAUUCCCUGGUCGGUCCUUCAAGCAAGCGUUUCAUGCUGCAUUAUAGCUUUCCACCGUUUUGUACAAAUGAAGUUGGCAAACGAACUGGCCUGAAUAGGCGUGAAGUUGGUCAUGGCACUCUUGCUGAAAAGGCUCUGCUUGCUGUAUUACCCCCGGAAGAUGAUUUUCCAUACACAGUCCGAAUCAAUUCUGAAGUCAUGGCAUCUG
This 267-nucleotide unclassified non-coding RNA is filed under the name Hevea brasiliensis (rubber tree). Lineage: Eukaryota; Viridiplantae; Streptophyta; Magnoliopsida; Malpighiales; Euphorbiaceae. The record is from RNAcentral.